UAUUCUAGUAGCUGAACACACCCCAGGCUCUUCUGACCGGCAGUGGCUCUGGAAGCAGUCUGGUCUAUAGAGUUAUGGAUUCACUACCAGAUUCUACUGUAUGCUCUGACAACUAUGACCACAAUGGUCCACCCACAAAUGAAUUAUCAGGAGUGAACCCAGAGGCA
Gorilla gorilla gorilla (western lowland gorilla) is the source of this 167-nucleotide long non-coding RNA. RefSeq lists it as uncharacterized. NCBI's taxonomy places the organism in Eukaryota, Metazoa, Chordata, Mammalia, Primates, Hominidae. The record is from RefSeq and is a predicted model, not a curated record. The transcript has 3 exons.